This 72-nucleotide transfer RNA is filed under the name Saccoglossus kowalevskii. RNAcentral describes it as "tRNA-Gly". It matches the Rfam family "tRNA". Rfam says of the family: Transfer RNA (tRNA) molecules are approximately 80 nucleotides in length. Their secondary structure includes four short double-helical elements and three loops (D, anti-codon, and T loops). The record is from RNAcentral. Lineage: Eukaryota; Metazoa; Hemichordata; Enteropneusta; Harrimaniidae.
GCAUUGGUGGUUCAGUGGUAGAAUUCUCGCCUGCCACGCCGUAGGCCCGUGGUUCGAUUCCCGGCCAAUGCA